CCUGCCCAAGAGAUCGGGAUAACACCUGGAAACAGAUGCUAAUACCGGAUAACAACAGAUGAUGCCUAUCAACUGUUUAAAAGAUGGUUCUGCUAUCACUCUUGGAUGGACCUGCGGUGCAUUAGCUAGUUGGUAGGGUAACGGCCUACCAAGGCGAUGAUGCAUAGCCGAGUUGAGAGACUGAUCGGCCACAUUGGGACUGAUACACGGCCCAAACUCCUACGGGAGGCAGCAGUC
This 237-nucleotide ribosomal RNA is filed under the name uncultured Lactobacillus sp. Its description in RNAcentral is "partial 16S ribosomal RNA". It matches the Rfam family "Bacterial small subunit ribosomal RNA", at positions 125 to 355 of the family's 1533-position model. Lineage: Bacteria; Bacillati; Bacillota; Bacilli; Lactobacillales; Lactobacillaceae. The record is from RNAcentral.